GAAACGCUUGAUGGUCCUCAAGGUGGCGACCACUGCCAGCAUCGGCUGCAAAAGCUUGUUGUACCUCUGGUCGUAUGCACACUACUUUAGCGCCCGCCGCCGCCAUCGCAACAGCUCCCGCCCUCUAACUAUUGUCGCUGCUCCGGUCCUCACCAGCCGCGGCGAGGGAGUCCUGCCGCUCGUCGUGGUCAUCUCGCGCCCCACCGCCGCUGCUCCCGUUGUCGUCCCGCCGCACCACUAUGGUGAAGUCGAACGCGAGGGAGUCCCGCCACUCGUCGUGGUCAUCUCGUGCCCCAUCGCCGCUGCUCUCGUCGUCGUCCCGCCGCACCGCUAUGGUGAAGCCGGCCGGGAACGAAGGGCCGAAGCCAUUCGAAUGGGGAAGAGGAGGGCGGUGAUUCAGACAAGCAAGGCACGACGACUUAGAGACCAAGACCUCAACGGCGCGCGGCCUAGCUCGGGGGCAGCGGGCAAAGCUGGAGUUUAG
RNAcentral lists this long non-coding RNA (484 nucleotides) under Oryza sativa Indica Group (long-grained rice). Its description in RNAcentral is "lncRNA OsMH63_06G009820". The record is from RNAcentral. Lineage: Eukaryota; Viridiplantae; Streptophyta; Magnoliopsida; Poales; Poaceae.